RNAcentral lists this long non-coding RNA (2546 nucleotides) under Pan troglodytes (chimpanzee). Its description in RNAcentral is "long non-coding RNA NONPTRT010785". Lineage: Eukaryota; Metazoa; Chordata; Mammalia; Primates; Hominidae. The record is from RNAcentral.
CAUUUACCCAUUUGUUCCAAACCUUUAUAUUCAGGCCAUGAGAGAAGCAGUACCUUAUAAUGGUUCCUUGUUCAAAGCACUCAAUAUUCCUAGGAUGUGGUCUCCCAGCUGACUUCAUAACUGAAUCAUCAGUAAUUAAUUUCAUUGUUCUAUUAGAUGACCUCAACCUCUCGGCCAUUUGCUCUGUGUUUCACACAGGACUUUACUGAAGACUCUAAGGAGGACCUGUAUCUGUUGGGAUCCUUAGGGCAAGCCACAGAAACAAGCUUUGGAUACUAGAAGCAGAAAAUGGAGUUAUUGAAGACUAUUGUGGAGUUUACUGUGAGCCAGAGAACCAGGCUGGGUGGCUGUACCACUUAGAAUGAGAUCCAAACUCACACCAUAGUUCCAUCCUUGAGGUCGCCAUGUUGCUGCCACCCCUCCUGCCACCCCACCACUGAAGCUUUGGAUGCUGGAUUCUGGGCACAGCGGGGAGAAGUGUUGGUUAUUACCAUUUUAAUAUGUUUUCUUUCAAGACCUUUUCAAAAUAUACAUACGUAUUUUUAUUUCUAUUCAAAAUGGGAUACAUUUUUGAAGGUUAGCAAUAUAUUGUGAACAUUUUCUUUCCAUGCUCAGAAACAUUUUUCUAUAAUAUAAUUUAUAGUGAUAUAAACUAUCUCAUAGACCUACCAUAGUUUACCUAACAAAUCCCAAAUCAUUUGUGCCAUUUCUAAAUUUUUAUUAUCUUAUGUAAUGCUUUAAUGAACAUCCUUGCAUUUAUAUUUUAUACAAUUUUAGAAGUGGAAUUACUGGUUCAAAAUACAUGGUGAUUUUUAAUUCUUCUGUUGAAUAUUGACAAAUUGCAAUCCUGAGAGUUAUCUUGAAGGAUAGAGUAUAUGCCCAGGGUUCUUUUUUAAGAAAUAAUUUGUAAUGUGAAACAGAAUAGGCUAAAUGUUUUUUAUUCUCUUAGUCCUACUCUGUCAUUCUGCAGUUUCACUUAUUUGGAUUCAAAUUCUAAUUCCAGCCUACCUCUCUUUUUAUAUAAUUGUUAGGAGGAUUAAAUUAGAUGCAUAAAAUUGCUGCUUACUACACACAUUGCACAAACUAAAAACUUUUCAAAGGUUAACUGUUUUUCUGGUUUAUUUUUAAGAGACAGGUUCUUGCUCUGUUGCCCAGGCUGGAGUGCAGUGGUGUGAUCACGGCUCACUAUAGCCUCAUCCUGCUGCACUAAAGUGAUCCUCUUGCCUCAGCCUCCUGAGUAGCUAGGACUACAGGCACGUGCCACCAUACCCAGCUAUUUUUUUUUUAAUACAUUUUUGUUGAGGCUGGGUCCCCUUUGCUGUCCAGGCUGGUCUUAAGCUCCUGGCCUCAAGCAAUCCUUCCACUUCUACCUCCCAAAGUGUUGAGAUUAGGGGUGUGAGCCACUCCACCUGACCCAAAGGUUAACUAUUAUUAUUGUUAUUAUUAAUCUGUUUUUUUCCGUUCAUUUCCUCAUUAGUCGACUUUUAUUGUUUCAAUGUUAUUUUAUUGUUUUUCAAAGACUCCUUAUAGUCACAAUAUGUACAUAAUAAAUUUUACCCUUUAAGGACACUGAGGUUCCAAAUGAAAAUGAUAUUUUUAAGAUGAAACAAUUAUAGAUAGAAAAACAACUUUUUUUCUGUGAGUACUAGAUUUCAUAUUAUCCUUAAUGUCUUUCUAGGUAGUAACCAAGCGAUUUCUCAUAAACUGGAAAACAUUAUUCCCACUGAUAUUCUUAAAAACAUUAAGGAUUAAAAAAUGUAUUUUAAAUUCUUCUUGACAGAAAUCAUUUAUUGCAAUUACAUUGCCAAUUCAUAUAUAUAUUACAUAUAUGUCACCUUGACUUAUAGUAACCUGAAGGGGAAAUUUGUAGGUUUAGCAAAUCCCUUCGAGUAACACCCACAGAACUGAAAUCUUAUUCCAUUUCUUGGUGGUCUUCUACCAAUCCAGUCCUCCUGAGGACCAUAAAAACUAUUGGUUCCUCUCCUAAACUGCUGUAAAAUAUAUCCUGUGAGACCCAGGGGAAAAUCUUUCUGAGGUUGAGCAUUCCAUGGAGACUCAAUAUUCCAGAUUUUGAAAUGUAGCUAGAAGUGGAAAUGGAUUUAUUUCUCAGGAUCUCUUUGUUCAUAAUUAAGGAUAUAAAAAAUAGAGUUCAGAAUGUGAGUGAAAUGUAAUUGAAAAGGAAAGCCUUGAUUUUACAUAUAAAAUAUCUUUACCAGAUGGGUGAAGUAAGGUAACUUAAGACGAUACUUAAAAUUCAAUAACAAUGAUGAAACUAUGAAAUACAAAACUUCUGGCACCCAUAAGCUAGUUCCUAGAAAGAAGGUUAUCAUAUAUUGUUAAUGUGUUCACACACUUAACAAAUAUUAAUGUGUUCAUUACAUUUAAGGCAUGAGAACUUACACAUCAUUCAAUGGUGAUAUUAAUAAUAAUUCAGUAAUCAUUAAUGAUGUAUAUGCUGUUAAUAACAACAGGGCAAGUUUAUUUUUCUGUUUUCUCUGAGUUCACUUGACUUUCCCUAAUUUCUGAAGAAUUCAUUCUUUGUGUGC